This 364-nucleotide long non-coding RNA is filed under the name Gossypium barbadense (sea-island cotton). RNAcentral describes it as "long non-coding RNA (GBAR_LNC009946)". Lineage: Eukaryota; Viridiplantae; Streptophyta; Magnoliopsida; Malvales; Malvaceae. The record is from RNAcentral.
CACAGCAUCAGCUAGGAUUAAAUUGAAAAUUGCGACAAAUUUUGGUGCCAAAUUAAAAAUAAAAAAUAAUUUAAUUGCAAAGUAAUAAAAAGCGGUAGGGCUAAACGCACAAAUAGCCCCUCCAAUGAAAACACGCGGAUCCUGAAGUUGGAGCAGGUCGGGUCGCGGGUCGGUCAUGGGUUAAGAGCCAAAACGACGUCGUUUUUGCAUUAGUGGCUUAAACCCAAAACGACGCCGUUUUGAUGGGGCUAUAUAAGUUAAAAUUCCUUAAAAAAAACUUAUUUUUCCCAUUUCAAAAAAAAAAAAAACUAACCCCUUUCUCUCAAACUCUCUCAAGGCCUUCUCCCUCCGACCAAACUCCGGC